This 2211-nucleotide small RNA is filed under the name Pan troglodytes (chimpanzee). RNAcentral describes it as "retained intron". The record is from RNAcentral. Lineage: Eukaryota; Metazoa; Chordata; Mammalia; Primates; Hominidae.
UUUUCUCUGUGGAUGGCAGGAUGUUUGAACCUAGAAACCCCAUUUCUAAGUUACCAUGAAAUCCACAUUGUGCAGGGUCUUCCUGAGUGCUGUCAGGGGUUCAAAGAAGUUUCCAUGGCGUCCCUGUUCUCACAGGGCUUUUAGUGCCAACGAGGAGAGAGAAAUGGGAUUUGUGAAUCUAAAAUAUGGGUCAGAAAUACUGCAUGAUUCCCUUAUAUAAGGCAUCUAAAAUAGGCUCAUAGAGGCAGAGAGUGAAAAUGGUGGUUGCAGGGACUGGGGCAGGGGAGGAGGAAGUGGGGAGUUGCUGUGCAGCUGAUAUAAUGUUUCAGCUAUGCAAGAUGAGUAAGUCCUGGAUAUGGGCUGGACAACGUUGUGCCUACAGUGAACAAUACAGUAUUGUGCACUGAACAGUUUGUUUAGAGGGUAGUUCUUAUGUUAAAUGUCCUUAUCACAAUAAAACAUAAAUAAAUAAUAAAAUUAAAUGUUAGUUGAGAUGGCAAUGAGAGAAUGAUAUUCAAAGUUAAUUGUGGGAAGACUAGUGUCAGAGCACAUUAGGAGUGUGUAGCUUCGAGACUGCAGCUCUGGGUAGAGGGCAGCCGAGGUUGCUGGCAAGUAUUCUGGCAAAUGACUCAGCUUGGCCAGGCUUACACACAGAGUGACCGGGAUUGGCACAGAGGCCUGGGGUGGUCUCGCAGAGACAGAGGCCUGGAAUAGGUCAGAGGCACUGAAUCAAGGGCCCAAGGGGUGCCAACCAGCACUACUAGCAAGGUGCCUGCAGAGGACUCUGUUGAUUAGGGCCCCAGGUUGGCAGCAGGAGAGAAGCCAUGUCACCUGCAGACCUAGGGAAACCGAGGGAGGUUGGGGACAUGGGAUGAAGGCUGUUGUAGAAAUUCUGGUAUGGGAUAUAGGGCUAGUGAUGUCUAAGCAGUGGUGAGAAAAGCAAGACCCUUUGUCAGCCCUGGCAAGUGGACGCUGCUGCUGUUGGAAGGCACCGGGAGAAGGGUGAGGCUGAGACACAGCUAGGACAGAGAGUGCCCACUUCUGCUCUGGUGGGUGUGGGACCCUGCCGGGCCUGGUGGCCAUAGGACCUGGUGGCGCAGGACCCCCUCCCAGGUGCAGUGUGGGCAGAGAGGUCCCCUGCUUGGCAUGAGCAGACAGGUUGUGCGUCCCUGGAACCACUUCCUCACCGCGGUGUGGACGUGCCUGCCGGCCAGCAGCUGGAUUCCUGUGGGACACCUGACUCAGCCACUGUGUUCUGCGCUGUGCCCCUGGCCAGGCAUGAGCUGAGCACAUCUCAGGCUCCCUCCCACAGGGCCUGGUCACACACCCCAGGGCACGUAGUGGCUGAUGGUCCUUCCUGAGGGGAUGGGGCCACUCAGGAGGAGGGAUGUGCGAGGCCUGAGUGUUCAGAGCAUCCCAUCCCUAGGGGGCACAGGGAAGGUAGGCAGCUGCUCUGGGGGAAGGGCUGAUGUGUGGACCCCCACAGGAAGAAGGGACUCUGAUCAUCGAGGGGCUCCUCAACAUUGCCUGGGGGCUGAGGCGGCCCAUCCGGCUGCAGAUGCAGGAUGACCGGGAGCAGGUGCACCUCCCCUCCACCUCAUGGAUGCCCGGAUGGCCCAGCUGCCCUCCAAAGGAGCCAUCGCCCCAGAACGGGAACAUCACAGCACAGGGGCCAAGCAUUCAGCCAGUGCACAAGGCUGAGAGUUCCACAGACAGCUCGGGGCCCCUGGAGGAGGCAGAGGAGGCCCCCCAGCUGAUGCGGACCAAGAGCGACGCCAGUUGCAUGAGCCAGAGGAGGCCCAAGUGCCGCACCCCCGGUGAGGCCCAGCGCAUCCGGCGACACCGGUUCUCUAUCAACGGCCACUUCUACAAUCAUAAGACCUCCGUGUUUACUCCAGCCUACGGAUCCGUGACCAAUGUGAGGGUCAACAGCACCAUGACAACCCUGCAGGUGCUCACCCUGCUGCUGAACAAAUUUAGGGUGGAAGAUGGCCCCAGUGAGUUCGCACUCUACAUCGUUCACGAGUCUGGGGAGCGGACAAAAUUAAAAGACUGCGAGUACCCGCUGAUUUCCAGAAUCCUGCAUGGGCCAUGUGAGAAGAUCGCCAGGAUGUUCCUGAUGGAAGCUGACUUGGGCGUGGAAGUCCCCCAUGAAGUCGCUCAGUACAUUAAGUUUGAAAUGCCGGUGCUGGACAGUUUUGUUGAAAAAUU